GCAAUAAUGGACUCUGUCGCUUCUUAGGAAGAGGAAAGUCCGGACACCGUAGAGCAGCAUAGCGGAUAACAUCCGUCCAUUGAAAGGUGAGGACCAGUGCAACAGAAAGCAAGUACAGUUCGGCUGUAGUGAAACCAGGUAAACUCUAUGCGGUGCAAUGUCAUGUACAUUAGAGUUUGAGGGUAACUCGCCCGAUUCUAAGGGGUAGGCAGAUG
Molecule: RNase P RNA, 215 nt
Filed under: Bacteroidota bacterium
Lineage: Bacteria; Pseudomonadati; Bacteroidota
Description: Bacteroidetes bacterium (marine metagenome) partial RNase P RNA component class A
Rfam family: Bacterial RNase P class A
About the family: Ribonuclease P (RNase P) is a ubiquitous endoribonuclease, found in archaea, bacteria and eukarya as well as chloroplasts and mitochondria. Its best characterised activity is the generation of mature 5'-ends of tRNAs by cleaving the 5'-leader elements of precursor-tRNAs.
Source: RNAcentral